Ruditapes philippinarum (Manila clam) is the source of this 1498-nucleotide long non-coding RNA. RefSeq lists it as uncharacterized. The record is from RefSeq and is a predicted model, not a curated record. The transcript has 3 exons. NCBI's taxonomy places the organism in Eukaryota, Metazoa, Mollusca, Bivalvia, Venerida, Veneridae.
UUACGUCGAUAGGACGUUGGAUUUCAGUGAAAUCUAACAUAGAAGUCUUGAUUGAGUCACUUCCCUUUGUUCUGAUUUAUAAACCCAAUAGGUGGCUCUAAUUUCAGUUCAAGAUAAUCAUUCAAAUUUUGUUAUUCAUUUUUUUCACAUCAAUUGUAUGUUUUUUGUUAUACUAGACCGUAGAAAGGAACAAUGUUAGUAUUUCAAAUAAAUUGAAAAAAUAAUGGAAACUUGAUGAAUUUCAAAACGAGGCUACAACAACAACUUGUUUUCAAAUUCAAACAAAGACAAAGGACAUUAUAGACAUCAUAGAAGACAACUGGCAUACUAAAAAACUAACACCAAUGUUUGAUUACAAUUAGCUGAUAACAAUUUAUAUAUUUGUAUACAUGAAAAACAGUCGACAGAAAAAAACAUUUGGACAUAAAAGAACGAUGAGGACAUCAAAUUAAGUUUCAAGGGGUAAAGACAAGUUGAACCUCAAAACAAGUUUUUACAUGAUUAUUUGACACAGUGUCUUCGUAGAUGAAAAUAAUCAGGAUCCAGUGGUGAACGUUUAGUAUAUCAGAAAAUUCACAUUGAGGAGUAUAUCUCCAAAAUUUAAUACUUUUAAGUUAGUUUAAGAAGAAAAAAGAUAAAAAAUCACUUACUUUCUUUAAAAGUGAAUAUUAUUGUUUUGUGUGUAACACUUAAUUUUGACAGAAAGGAAUAUUUUCACUCACUUAUCCGAUUUUGUUACCGAUAAAAUCAACUGCAAAAGAAAGGAUUAUUUUCCAUGAUUUCCAUUUUCUAUGAGUUUUUAAAAGAAAAUCUUUUUAAGCAUGUUGUAAACUUUAAUUGACAACUGUUGUAAUAGAUAAUAGUAGUUAAUGUGUACUGUAGAUCUUUAAAGAUCCUGUAUGCUUUGUUAUUGAUAUUAUUACUGUGUGAAUACCACACUUGAAAAAUUAUAUAUUUAAAAUAAUUAUGCAAAUAAAACAAUUUUCAAACAUCAAAGGAUAUGUAAAAUGUGUACUGCAAAUAUUUGUGCACAUUAUAUUUAAUCAAUCAAUUACAUGCAUUCUUUUCUUUUUGGAAAAUUUGACCUAGAAUUUAUGGAAAAUAAAUUUCUAAUUACCUCCCUUUAUUUACAUGAAAUAUUAAAUUGGGUAAUAUCUUCAUAAAUAAUGCUUAUUUGAACUUACAAUAUUGACAAAUCUUAAUUUGAGCAUCAUAUUUAUGAAAUGAAACCAUGAAAAAAAAUGUGUUACAGGAUCUUUAAAUGAAAAAGAUUUGUUGACUGUUAUUUGUUAUAAUUUUGGAUUACACAAUGUGUAUUAUUGUAUUGACUGAAAGAGGUCUGAUAAAUGUUAAACUUCAAUUUUGAAAAGACAUGUAGCUCUUAUUUUUUUUAAUUUUAAUAGUUUAUAUACAUUUUAUAAAUAUCAAACCUUAUUUUAUUAUCACUAUAAAUGAUUAAAAGUGAGUCCUUUUUUGAUGUUAUGCAUAUAUAUGUUGG